UACAGAGGAUGCAAGCGUUAUCCGGAAUGAUUGGGCGUAAAGCGUCUGUAGGUGGCUUUUUAAGUCCGCCGUCAAAUCCCAGGGCUCAACUCUGGACAGGCGGUGGAAACUACCAAGCUGGAGUACGGUAGGGGCAGAGGGAAUUUCCGGUGGAGCGGUGAAAUGCGUAGAUAUCGAUAGGAACACCAGUGGCGAAGGCGGUCUCCUGGGGCAUUCUUGACGCUGAGGCGCGAAAGCUGGGGGAGCGAACGGG
This 253-nucleotide ribosomal RNA is filed under the name uncultured bacterium. RNAcentral describes it as "partial 16S ribosomal RNA". It matches the Rfam family "Bacterial small subunit ribosomal RNA", at positions 524 to 776 of the family's 1533-position model. The record is from RNAcentral.